AGAGUUUGAUCCUGGCUCAGGGUGAACGCUAGCUACAGGCUUAACACAUGCAAGUCGAGGGGAAACGACAUCGAAAGCUUGCUUUUGAUGGGCGUCGACCGGCGCACGGGUGAGUAACGCGUAUCCAACCUGCCCAUCACUUGGGGAUAACCUUGCGAAAGUAAGACUAAUACCCAAUGACGUCUCUAGAAGACAUCUGAAGGAGAUUAAAGAUUUAUCGGUGAUGGAUGGGGAUGCGUCUGAUUAGCUUGUUGGCGGGGUAACGGUCCACCAAGGCGACGAUCAGUAGGGGUUCUGAGAGGAAGGUCCCCCACAUUGGAACUGAGACACGGUCCAAACUCCUACGGGAAGCA
RNAcentral lists this ribosomal RNA (353 nucleotides) under uncultured bacterium. RNAcentral describes it as "bacterial SSU rRNA". It matches the Rfam family "Bacterial small subunit ribosomal RNA", at positions 8 to 350 of the family's 1533-position model. The record is from RNAcentral.